GUUUGUGUAGCUUAUAUUAUAAAGUGUAGCAUUGAAGUUGCUAAGAAAAUAGUUUUUUAUAAGCG
This 65-nucleotide transfer RNA is filed under the name Endeis sp. JZ-2022. RNAcentral describes it as "tRNA-Phe". The record is from RNAcentral. Lineage: Eukaryota; Metazoa; Arthropoda; Pycnogonida; Pantopoda; Endeidae.